CUCCUAAAAACAAAACCCUCGCCUCCUUCUUUUUGAGAACCUGCGCAUUUGUUUUCCGGACUCCCCAUUCUCUCACUCUCUCUCUUUCUUCACGAUCUAGCACCAUUUUUUCUAGGUCGAACUCAUCUGACUGCAAAAUUUGAUGAAAUGUGUGACCAGAAUCCAUUUGAUGCAAACAACAAGAAUGAUGAAGUUGAACGUGUUGGAAUGAAGUUGAAUUUCGUGUUGGAAUGAUUUUUUGUGCAGCAUGCUCCUUCUGGUGGAAUGUAGAUGAUUAGUGGAGAAAAUAUAUCAUUUACAAGUUUAUUAAGUCAAGUUUUCUGCAGCAAUCCAUUUUGGAUCUCACCCUCAUCAACAAUGUGAUAACAGAAUACAGGGGUUGAGGUGGUAUAUUUGCUCUGAAUGUGUUGAUGUAUUUGAUGAGAUAUAGAGAUACAUUUUCCUAUAAAAUUAUGGUGUAUUUGAGGGAUUACAGAAUGCCCCUUUUCUUCUGCAUGUAAUUGCAUCUGAUUAUACCUUAUAUGGAGACACUUUAUUUCCA
Molecule: long non-coding RNA, 541 nt
Organism: Tripterygium wilfordii
Lineage: Eukaryota; Viridiplantae; Streptophyta; Magnoliopsida; Celastrales; Celastraceae
Exons: 2
Source: RefSeq, a predicted model, not a curated record